RNAcentral lists this ribosomal RNA (253 nucleotides) under uncultured bacterium. Its description in RNAcentral is "partial 16S ribosomal RNA". It matches the Rfam family "Bacterial small subunit ribosomal RNA", at positions 524 to 776 of the family's 1533-position model. The record is from RNAcentral.
CACGUAGGGCGCAAGCGUUGUCCGGAAUUAUUGGGCGUAAAGAGCUCGUAGGCGGUUUGUUGCGUCGGCUGUGAAAUCCCGAGGCUCAACCUCGGGUCUGCAGUCGAUACGAGCAAACUAGAGUGUUGCAGGGGAGACUGGAAUUCCUGGUGUAGCGGUGAAAUGCGCAGAUAUCAGGAGGAACACCGGUGGCGAAGGCGGGUCUCUGGGCAACAACUGACGCUGAGGAGCGAAAGCCAGGGGAGCAAACGGG